AACUUGAGAGUUUGAUCCUGGCUCAGAACGAACGCUGGCGGCAGGCUUAACACAUGCAAGUCGAACGCCCCGCAAGGGGAGUGGCAGACGGGUGAGUAACGCGUGGGAAUCUACCCAGAACUUCGGAACAACUGAGGGAAACUUCAGCUAAUACCGGAUACGCCCUACGGGGGAAAGAUUUAUCGGUUCUGGAUGAGCCCGCGUUGGAUUAGCUAGUUGGUGGGGUAAUGGCCUACCAAGGCGACGAUCCAUAGC
RNAcentral lists this ribosomal RNA (255 nucleotides) under Devosia sp. 67-54. RNAcentral describes it as "partial 16S ribosomal RNA". It matches the Rfam family "Bacterial small subunit ribosomal RNA", at positions 1 to 287 of the family's 1533-position model. Lineage: Bacteria; Pseudomonadati; Pseudomonadota; Alphaproteobacteria; Hyphomicrobiales; Devosiaceae. The record is from RNAcentral.